This 393-nucleotide ribosomal RNA is filed under the name uncultured bacterium. RNAcentral describes it as "partial 16S ribosomal RNA". It matches the Rfam family "Bacterial small subunit ribosomal RNA", at positions 523 to 918 of the family's 1533-position model. The record is from RNAcentral.
AUACGGAAGGUCCGGGCGUUAUCCGGAUUUAUUGGGUUUAAAGGGAGCGCAGGCGGAGAUGCAAGCGUGACGUCAAAUUUCGGGGCUCAACCCCGUCUCGCGUCGCGAACUGCGUCCCUUGGUUGCGGGAAGGGGAGGCGGAACUCGUGGUGUAGCGGUGAAAUGCAUAGAUAUAACGAAGAACUCCGAUGGCGGAGGCAGCCUUGCGGCCAGUCAACGACGAUCAUGCUCGAAGGUGCGGGUAUCAAACAGGAGUAGAUACGGUGGUAGUCCGCACAGUAAACGAUGGACACCCGCGGUUUGGCCUGUAUGGCUGAGCCGCCAAGCGAAAGCGUUAAGUGUCCCACCUGGGGAGUACGCCGGCAACGGUGAAACUCAAAUGAAUUGACGGGG